AUUGAACGCUGGCGGCAUGCUUUACACAUGCAAGUCGAACGGUAACAGGUUAAGCUGACGAGUGGCGAACGGGUGAGUAAUGCAUCGGAACGUGCCCGGUCGUGGGGGAUAACGCAGCGAAAGCUGCGCUAAUACCGCAUACGAUCUAAGGAUGAAAGCGGGGGACCGUAAGGCCUCGCGCGAUCGGAGCGGCCGAUGUCAGAUUAGGUAGUUGGUGGGGGUAAAGGCUCACCAAGCCAACGAUCUGUAGCUGGUCUGAGAGGACGACCAGCCACACUGGGACUGAGACACGGCCCAGACUCCUACGGGAGGCAGCAGUGGGGAAUUUUGGACAAUGGGCGAAAGCCUGAUCCAGCAAUGCCGCGUGCAGGAAGAAGGCCUUCGGGUUGUAAACUGCUUUUGUACGGAGCGAAAAGGUCUCCUCUAAUACAGGGGGCUCAUGACGGUACCGUAAGAAUAAGCACCGGCUAACUACGUGCCAGCAGCCGCCGUAA
This 494-nucleotide ribosomal RNA is filed under the name uncultured bacterium. RNAcentral describes it as "partial 16S ribosomal RNA". It matches the Rfam family "Bacterial small subunit ribosomal RNA", at positions 30 to 523 of the family's 1533-position model. The record is from RNAcentral.